CCUACGGGACGCAGCAGUGAGGAAUAUUGGUCAAUGGCCGAGAGGCUGAACCAGCCAAGUCGCGUGAGGGAAGACGGCCCUACGGGUUGUAAACCUCUUUUGUCGGGGAGCAAAGCGAACCACGUGUGGCUCAUUGAGAGUACUCGAAGAAAAAGCAUCGGCUAACUCCGUGCCAGCAGCCGCGGUAAUACGGAGGAUGCGAGCGUUAUCCGGAUUUAUUGGGUUUAAAGGGUGCGCAGGCGGGGGUGCAAGUCAGCGGUAAAAUUGCG
RNAcentral lists this ribosomal RNA (269 nucleotides) under uncultured bacterium. Its description in RNAcentral is "partial 16S ribosomal RNA". It matches the Rfam family "Bacterial small subunit ribosomal RNA", at positions 338 to 604 of the family's 1533-position model. The record is from RNAcentral.